CCGAACAGCAGAGCAGAGUAUUUCAGGAGAGAGGAUCAGAGGAAGGAGCAUAGUCCUCCAGCAGAGCAGAGUAUUUCAGGAGAGAGGAGUCAGAGGAAGGAGCGGAGUCCCCCAGCAGAGCAGCGUAUUUCAGGAGAGGAGAGU
Molecule: long non-coding RNA, 144 nt
Organism: Nanorana parkeri
Lineage: Eukaryota; Metazoa; Chordata; Amphibia; Anura; Dicroglossidae
Exons: 2
Source: RefSeq, a predicted model, not a curated record